UGGGGAAUAUUGCACAAUGGGCGAAAGCCUGAUGCAGCAACGCCGCGUGAGUGAUGAAGGUCUUCGGAUUGUAAAGCUCUGUCUUUUGGGACGAUAAUGACGGUACCAAAGGAGGAAGCCACGGCUAACUACGUGCCAGCAGCCGCGGUAAUACGUAGGUGGCGAGCGUUGUCCGGAUUUACUGGGCGUAAAGGGUGCGUAGGCGGAUGUUUAAGUGAGAUGUGAAAUACCCGGGCUUAACUUGGGUGCUGCAUUUCAAACUGGAUAUCUAGAGUGCAGGAGAGGAGAAUGGAAUUCCUAGUGUAGCGGUGAAAUGCGUAGAGAUUAGGAAGAACACCAGUGGCGAAGGCGAUUCUCUGGACUGUAACUGACGCUGAGGCACGAAAGCGUGGGUAGCAAACAGGAUUAG
This 409-nucleotide ribosomal RNA is filed under the name uncultured bacterium. RNAcentral describes it as "partial 16S ribosomal RNA". It matches the Rfam family "Bacterial small subunit ribosomal RNA", at positions 355 to 781 of the family's 1533-position model. The record is from RNAcentral.